RNAcentral lists this ribosomal RNA (404 nucleotides) under Actinomycetes bacterium. RNAcentral's name for it is "Actinobacteria bacterium partial 16S ribosomal RNA". It matches the Rfam family "Bacterial small subunit ribosomal RNA", at positions 355 to 776 of the family's 1533-position model. Lineage: Bacteria; Bacillati; Actinomycetota; Actinomycetes. The record is from RNAcentral.
UGGGGAAUAUUGGACAAUGGGCGCAAGCCUGAUCCAGCCAUGCCGCGUGAGUGAUGAAGGCCCUAGGGUUGUAAAGCUCUUUCACCGGUGAAGAUAAUGACGGUAACCGGAGAAGAAGCCCCGGCUAACUUCGUGCCAGCAGCCGCGGUAAUACGAAGGGGGCUAGCGUUGUUCGGAUUUACUGGGCGUAAAGCGCACGUAGGCGGACUAUUAAGUCAGGGGUGAAAUCCCGGGGCUCAACCCCGGAACUGCCUUUGAUACUGGUAGUCUUGAGAGCGAGAGAGGUGAGUGGAAUUCCGAGUGUAGAGGUGAAAUUCGUAGAUAUUCGGAGGAACACCAGUGGCGAAGGCGGCUCACUGGCUCGAUACUGACGCUGAGGUGCGAAAGCGUGGGGAGCAAACAGG